CGCCGCUCCCGGUGCCCCGGCCCGGCCCGGCCCGGCCCGGCUGCCGGCGCCGCUCCUCCCCCGGCCCCGCCCCGGCGGCUUGUAAACACGGCAGUGGCUUCCGCCACGGCGCCGCGACGCCUCGCGAGAGACCGGGUCUCGCGAGACAGGGACGCUCCGGGCCCGCCCCCGCCCCAGGCGACUGUCAAGUACAGGCCUCGCGCUUGGCUCGAGCGCGGUUGUUUUCCAGCUCCCGUGCGCGCGUUCGCGCGCGGGGCGGCGGCCGCCCCUGGGACUCGGUGUGAGGGGAGCGCUGCUGUCCCUGUGGCGGUCCGGUGAAAGUGGGGUCCGGCCCGUUCCUUCAGCCCUAAGCAGGCGUCUGGUUCAGUUCUCUGUGUGACAGGGAGAGGCGGCAGUGCAGUGCGCUGUGUCUCAUCGUUCACUGAGUUGUGUCUGUGAUUGCAUUAUGUGAAAGCAUGACAGUGACAGGGGUACCAACACUGCCACGCGAACAGAUGCGAUCCUCAGACAUUGCAGGCGUCUGUGGUCUCUCUGAGGGAGCCUACGUUCCUGGUGUGCUGCAGCUCUCGGACAUCCCUGCACUAUGGGGACUGGCUCUGCAACACAGCAAUGCUGGGGGGAGUUUUCCUUCACCUCAUGUGGUUAGACAACAUUGUCUCUUCAGGCACAGUACUUCUGUAAGGAAAGAUUGUGCUUUUAUCACUAAACAGCCACCUCAAAUUGUCUGUUGUCCUUCGACAAGGGACUGUGAGAAACAACUGAAGCCCAUUGAGGCCCAAGUCUAGACCAGUUGGAUAAGAGGCUUGAUUCUUGGUGGAAGAGAACUGCCUUUUGAGAUGGAGAAAAUACUCCCAGCAGUUUUCAAAUACAUGGCGAUAUUCCUGCUUUUCAGUAAUUCAAAAUGAAAAAUGCUCAAACUGAAUCUGAAGCUAAAAUAAAAGCAUGCGGGAUUUAUUUACCCUCCCCCCC
This 969-nucleotide long non-coding RNA is filed under the name Numida meleagris (helmeted guineafowl). RNAcentral describes it as "lncRNA (ENSNMEG00000014979.1)". Lineage: Eukaryota; Metazoa; Chordata; Aves; Galliformes; Numididae. The record is from RNAcentral.